UACGUAGGGGGCGAGCGUUGUCCGGAAUGACUGGGCGUAAAGGGCGUGUAGGCGGUUCUUUAAGUUUGGAGUGAAAGUCCUGCAUUUAAUGUGGGAAUUGCUUUGAAUACUGGAGAACUUGAGUGCGGAAGAGGUAAGUGGAAUUCCCAGUGUAGCGGUGAAAUGCGUAGAGAUUGGGAGGAACACCAGUGGCGAAGGCGACUUACUGGGCCGUAACUGACGCUGAGGCGCGAAAGCGUGGGGAG
Molecule: ribosomal RNA, 245 nt
Filed under: uncultured Alkalibacter sp.
Lineage: Bacteria; Bacillati; Bacillota; Clostridia; Eubacteriales; Eubacteriaceae
Description: partial 16S ribosomal RNA
Rfam family: Bacterial small subunit ribosomal RNA
Source: RNAcentral